GACGAACGCUGGCGGCGUGCCUAAUACAUGCAAGUUGAGCGCUGAAGGUUGGUACUUGUACCAACUGGAUGAGCAGCGAACGGGUGAGUAACGCGUGGGGAAUCUGCCUUUGAGCGGGGGACAACAUUUGGAAACGAAUGCUAAUACCGCAUAAAAACUUUAAACACAAGUUUUAAGUUUGAAAGAUGCAAUUGCAUCACUCAAAGAUGAUCCCGCGUUGUAUUAGCUAGUUGGUGAGGUAAAGGCUCACGAAGGCGAUGAUACAUAGCCGACCUGAGAGGGUGAUCGGCCACAUUGGGACUGAGACACGGCCCAAACUCCUUCGGGAGGCAGCAGAAGGGAAUCUUCGGCAAGGGACGAAAGUCUGAGCGAGCAACGCCGCGUGAGUGAAGAAGGUUUUCGGAUCGUAAAACUCUGUUGGUAGAGAAGAACGUUGGUGAGAGUGGAAAGCUCAUCAAGUGACGGUAACUACACAGAAAGGGACGGCUAACUACGUG
RNAcentral lists this ribosomal RNA (497 nucleotides) under uncultured bacterium. Its description in RNAcentral is "partial 16S ribosomal RNA". It matches the Rfam family "Bacterial small subunit ribosomal RNA", at positions 28 to 507 of the family's 1533-position model. The record is from RNAcentral.